CAGGACCAGGUGUGCCAGGUGUGCCAGGGCCAGGUGUGACGAGGCCAGGUGUGCCAGGUGUGCCAGGGCCAGGUGUGACAGGGCCACGUGUGUUCAGGUGUGUCAGGGUUGUCCAGGUCAACCAAGGUCAGGGCCAAGGAUGUCCAGGUGUGUCCAGGUGUGUUGGGGCCAGGUGUGACAGGGAUGUCCAGGUGUGACAGGGCCAGGUGUGUCCAGGUGUGUCCAGGUGUGUCCAGGUGUGUCCAGGUGUUUCCAGGUGUGUCAGGGCCAGGUGUGUCCAGGUGUGUCAGGGCCAGAUGUGUCAGGGCCAGGUGUGACAGGGCCAGGUGUGUCCAGGUGUGUCGGGGUUGUCCAGGUGUCAGGGCCAAGGAUGUCCAGGUGUGACCGAGCCAGGUGUGUUUGGGCCAGGUGUGAUAGGUGUGUCCAGGUGUUUCGGGGCUGUCCAGGUGUGACAGGACCAGGUGUGUUGGGGCCAGGUGACAGGGAUGUCCAGGUGUGACAGGGCCAGGUGUGUCCAGGUGUUUUGGGGCUGUCCAGGUGUCAGGGCCAGGUGUCAGCAGGAGCUGGGAGUUACUGGGUGAACUGGGGGUUACUGGGGGUUACUGGGGGUUACUGGGAACUCUGGGGGUUACUGGGUGAACUGGGGGUUACUGGGGGUUACUGGGGGUUACUGGGAACUCUGGGAGUUACUGGGUGAACUGGGGGUUACUGGGUAAACUGGGGUGAACUGGGGGUUACUGGGAGCACUGGGAGUUACUGGGAGCACUGGGGGUUACUGGAUAAACUGGGGUGAACUGGGAGUUACUGGGGUGAACUGGGGGUUACUGGGUGAACUGGGAGUUACUGGGUGAACUGGGGGUUACUGGAUAAACUGGGGUAAACUGGGGGUUACUGGGAGCACUGGGAGCCCACGUGUGCCCAGCUGUGCCGCGCUGGGGGCGGGGCUUUCCCCGCGAUGGGCGGGGUUUACACCACGGGGAGGGGAAGCUUUUUCCCGCCAAGCGGGCGUGGCUUUGCCCAUAUAUGGACUGGACUUUCCCGCCCUCUCCCCGAGGCCACGCCCCCCGCUUGGCGCAGUCCGCGCGCGCCG
Molecule: long non-coding RNA, 1090 nt
Filed under: Parus major (Great Tit)
Lineage: Eukaryota; Metazoa; Chordata; Aves; Passeriformes; Paridae
Description: lncRNA (ENSPMJG00000004181.1)
Source: RNAcentral